This 1183-nucleotide ribosomal RNA is filed under the name Escherichia coli. Its description in RNAcentral is "partial 23S ribosomal RNA". It matches the Rfam family "Bacterial large subunit ribosomal RNA", at positions 339 to 1529 of the family's 2925-position model. Lineage: Bacteria; Pseudomonadati; Pseudomonadota; Gammaproteobacteria; Enterobacterales; Enterobacteriaceae. The record is from RNAcentral.
CGUCUGGAAAGGCGCGCGAUACAGGGUGACAGCCCCGUACACAAAAAUGCACAUGCUGUGAGCUCGAUGAGUAGGGCGGGACACGUGGUAUCCUGUCUGAAUAUGGGGGGACCAUCCUCCAAGGCUAAAUACUCCUGACUGACCGAUAGUGAACCAGUACCGUGAGGGAAAGGCGAAAAGAACCCCGGCGAGGGGAGUGAAAAAGAACCUGAAACCGUGUACGUACAAGCAGUGGGAGCACGCUUAGGCGUGUGACUGCGUACCUUUUGUAUAAUGGGUCAGCGACUUAUAUUCUGUAGCAAGGUUAACCGAAUAGGGGAGCCGAAGGGAAACCGAGUCUUAACUGGGCGUUAAGUUGCAGGGUAUAGACCCGAAACCCGGUGAUCUAGCCAUGGGCAGGUUGAAGGUUGGGUAACACUAACUGGAGGACCGAACCGACUAAUGUUGAAAAAUUAGCGGAUGACUUGUGGCUGGGGGUGAAAGGCCAAUCAAACCGGGAGAUAGCUGGUUCUCCCCGAAAGCUAUUUAGGUAGCGCCUCGUGAAUUCAUCUCCGGGGGUAGAGCACUGUUUCGGCAAGGGGGUCAUCCCGACUUACCAACCCGAUGCAAACUGCGAAUACCGGAGAAUGUUAUCACGGGAGACACACGGCGGGUGCUAACGUCCGUCGUGAAGAGGGAAACAACCCAGACCGCCAGCUAAGGUCCCAAAGUCAUGGUUAAGUGGGAAACGAUGUGGGAAGGCCCAGACAGCCAGGAUGUUGGCUUAGAAGCAGCCAUCAUUUAAAGAAAGCGUAAUAGCUCACUGGUCGAGUCGGCCUGCGCGGAAGAUGUAACGGGGCUAAACCAUGCACCGAAGCUGCGGCAGCGACGCUGAUGCGUUGUUGGGUAGGGGAGCGUUCUGUAAGCCUGCGAAGGUGUGCUGUGAGGCAUGCUGGAGGUAUCAGAAGUGCGAAUGCUGACAUAAGUAACGAUAAAGCGGGUGAAAAGCCCGCUCGCCGGAAGACCAAGGGUUCCUGUCCAACGUUAAUCGGGGCAGGGUGAGUCGACCCCUAAGGCGAGGCCGAAAGGCGUAGUCGAUGGGAAACAGGUUAAUAUUCCUGUACUUGGUGUUACUGCGAAGGGGGGACGGAGAAGGCUAUGUUGGCCGGGCGACGGUUGUCCCGGUUUAAGCGUGUAGGCUGGU